This 122-nucleotide ribosomal RNA is filed under the name Tursiops truncatus (common bottlenose dolphin). The record is from RNAcentral. Lineage: Eukaryota; Metazoa; Chordata; Mammalia; Artiodactyla; Delphinidae.
AGUGUCAGCAUUGCCACCCUGAACACGCCCCACCUCGUCUGGUCUCAGAAGCUAAGCAGGGUCGGGCAUGGUUAGUACUUACAUGGGAGAUUGCCUGGGAAUAGCCCGUGCUGUAGGCUUUA